UACGUAGGGCGCAAGCGUUGUCCGGAAUCACUGGGCGUAAAGGGUGCGUAGACGGUAUGUUAAGUUCGUUGUUAAAGGCUCCGGCCUAACCGGAGUACCGCAAUGAAAACUGGCGUGCUAGAGGGUGAGAGAGAGAAGUGGAAUUCCCGGAGUAGCGGUAAAAUGCGUGGAUCUCGGGAGGAACACCAAUGGCGAAGGCAGCUUCUUGGCUCAUUCCUGACGUUGAGGCACGAAAGCGUGGGGAGCAAACAGG
This 253-nucleotide ribosomal RNA is filed under the name uncultured bacterium. RNAcentral's name for it is "partial 16S ribosomal RNA". It matches the Rfam family "Bacterial small subunit ribosomal RNA", at positions 524 to 776 of the family's 1533-position model. The record is from RNAcentral.